CGCUCUGGUCUCCUCUCUUCUCCUUUGGAGCUUUCGUUCUGCCCGCGCCUCUGCUCUCGCCCGAGUCGCCUCCUCGCGUCCCCCUUGUCCAUCAAAAUCUCGAUUCGUUUCGAAUCGCGUUUGAUUUCGCUCCUCGGCGCCUCUGCCUCCUGUGCUCGCAGGCAGGGGAUUCGGCCCGCCUCCUCCGCCUCCGUGCGAGCCCGAGAAGCGAUCGAUCGGGGGAUUCAUUCAUUUGGUUUGCGAAUCUAUAUCAGAGAUCGUCGAGCCUGGUUUUCGGAAUCGGAGCUCUGAUUAUGGAGCCGGAGGCCGAGGCAAGGUCAGUGUCCCGUGCGAGUUCAGAUCGCUUCCUUGGUUCCAUCACCUGCGUUCGUCCGUGAUAUAUUCCAGCUUUCAAAUCAAAUGGAUAUGGCCCGCGUGAUCUUCUGGUUCCCCUAGCGCUCUGGUUUAUUCCGUCAAUCAUUCGUUACUGCGAGGUGGAUCAAUUCGAGGCCCUCGAGGAUUUGGUGGAGGUUUGAUUUCUAUUCAUGAUUAUUCUGAUUGAUUGGUUGGUUACGGUUCGCCGGUUGUUGUUCUGAUGAUAUGGUCAGAUCUUCUGAGUGAUGAAGCUUAGGGUCUCCUACCAACCUGGAACCUGCGAUCUGCGUUUGGAUAAUAAAUACUAAAUCCCUCCCAAUUUUAGUUUCUUGGUUCGCACACUAGUCAACGGCAUGCAAUUCUGAUCUGAAUUCUUUGCUUCUCCAGAAAUUAUAAAUUGGAUUACACGCCAUAGCGGAAGCAACAUCUGCGUUUGGAUGAUUAUUACCCCCUCUAUUUUAUUCCUUCAUCCAUACAGUUCUUAGUCUGUUCUGAAUUAGAUUUGUUCAUGGUUGUCCAGAAAUUGGGAUUAUACGGCUUACCGGGAGCGACUUGUUAUUCUUCCUCACCUGUGUUUGGAUGAUCUGUUCAUUUUCUUUUCUCCACAGUUCAAUUAGUCUCCACACAAUUCUGAUUUGGAUUUGUUGCUCCUACUCCAGAAAAUUGGAAUUAUACGGCAUAGCGGGUGGCCCUGGCGGUUCCUUUUCUGUGGCUCAUCAAAUAUAAUUAAAACACGCCAGACAAGUUUUCUCUGCCUUAGUUUGUCAAUUGUCAGCUCUUGCAGACAUCGCCUUGGAAGGGAUAUAAAUGGAAUCGAUGCUGUCUACCUGACCUUCCCAGACAAGACUUUCUUAUAACUUUUACCUCCUCAUUUGAAGCAUGCUUUAGCUGAGCCUAGUUUCCCCCUAAUUUACAGAGAAGUAUCUUGCUCGUUGCAGUUGUGACAAACGCAAAGUCUAACCUGAUGCUGAGUUGAAUCUGUUUGCAGUUUUUCUAAAUCUAAUCAAUUCAUCAUUAAUUGGAUGACCUUGAAGAUCUCUCACUAGGCAGUAUUUUAAAUUCAGAUUCAUCUGCAAAGGUGCAAGAAUGGAGCUUCAAACUAAUGGCACAUCCUACAACAAAAAGACUCUGCUCCAUUAUUAACUCUUGCCUCUUAUUUUUAUUUCACGUAGCUACUUGUUCAUGCCUUUGAUUUAGGUUUUUUUGCUUGUGCCCCCCUGUGAUUGCAGAUUUAUUUUAGCCAGAGCGUGUUGGUACUUGGUAGUGAGUCAAAAUCUGUUAAAUCGGUUGGUUUGCAGUCUAUCUCUAUGUGGUUCGAUUUGUUAUCUGUACUCUUAUCCUGUCGGACUGCAGGACAUAUUUACGAAGUUUGGGCUUAUGGGCAAAUCUCUGUACAGUGAGUCAGGUCAGUGCUCUAUCAACGGUUUGUUUGGUUUAGUUGUGUUCCUCCACACAUUGGUUGCAGGAUUGGAUCUGUAAUGUGGAGAGCCCUGUGGUGUUGUAUGUUGAAGGGGCUUUGAGCAGGUCAGGUUUGAAUGCUAUCGCCCGUGUGGUCUUCUGGUUCUCAUGACAUGUUUCUUCAUCAUCAGCUAAUAUGAGGUGGAUUAGAGAAGUCCUGGUAGAUUCUUAUUGUAGCAGCUGGUCGCGCUUUUAGUGUGUGUUUGUGUUCCUUUGCUUGCAGCAGAUGCAGGAGUGUAGUAGUUCUGCACAGAUGAAUCAUAGGGUGGAGAGUUGGUUUCUGUUCGUCAUUUUGAUUGAUUGGAUAAUGAAGCGUUGGAUCUCUUACCAACCUGGAACUUGUGAUCUGCGUUUGGAUAAUAUAUAUUCCGUCCCAAUUCAAUUUAUUUGGUUUGCACAAUACAAUUUAGCCCUUGGUAGUUCUGAUCUGUAUUCGUUUGUGGUUUUCCAGAAAUUGGGGUUAAUUGGUGGAGUUUGAUAAAUCUUUUUGAUUGAUUGGAUAAUGAAGCUUUGGAACCUGGAACUUGCGAUCAGCGUUUGGAUAAUGAAUUCCGUCCCCAUUCAAUUUAUUUGGUUUGCACAGUACAAUUUAGUCCUGGCAGUUCUGAUCUGUAUUCAUUUGUGGUUUUUCAGAAAUUGAGCUUAGUAAGGUUUAGCAGGAGCAACCUAUCUUCUUGCUGAUUUGCAUUUGGAUGAUUACGAACCCCUCUAUUUAAUUCCUUCUCCUCAAUUCAAUUUUAGUCUCCGACAAUUCUGAUUUGGAUCUGUUGCUGGUUGUCCAGAAAUUAGGAUUAUAUGGCUUAGCGGGAGUGACCUAUCUUCUUGCUGACCUGUGCUUGGAUGAUCAUUACUCUCUCUGUUCAGUUUCUUCUCCAUAGCUCAAUUAGUUGCCGGACAAUUCUGAUUUAGUUUUUUUGCUGGUUCUCCAGAAAUUGGAAUUAUAUGGCUUAGCGGGUGGUCCUAUUUUUCCUCGGCAUGGCGGUUCUUUCUGUGGCCCAACAUAUCCGACCUUUUAUCCUCCCUUGAUAAUUGAACUUUCGAAAUGUUAGUUUCUUUGCCUUGGUUGGUAAUUCUCAGCUCUUGCAGAUGCUGACUUGGGAGCGAAAUAAUUGGAACCAGUGUUGUCUACCUGACUUUCCGGCCGAGACAGGCUUACUUACCCUUUACCUCAACACAUUUGACGCAUGCUUUAGCUGAGCCUAGUUUUCCUCUUAUAACUUAUAGAAAGGUAUCUUCCUCGUUGCAGGUCGUAGUUGAUGAACUCGUCCAGCCUGAUGCUGACUUGAAUCUGUUUGCAGUUCUUCUAAAUAUACUAUUUUCUCAAUUCAUCAGAACUUAGACAGCCUUUAAAAUUAUCUUACCAGACAAUAUUUUGAAUUCAGAUUUAUCCUCGAAGGUUCAAACAUGAAGAUUCAAACUAAUGGAACGUCCUAUUAUGAAAAAGACUGCUCCAGUUUUAACUCGCCUCUUAUUUUUGUUUCACGUAGCUACUUGUUCAUGUGUUUGAUUUAGGUUUCUCCUUCUGCCCUCCCUUUGGUUGCAGAUUAAAGCCCAAACCAUGCUGGUAGUGAGUCGGAAUCUGUUAAAAUCGUUUGGUUUGCGAUAUCUCUCUCUCUCUCUCUCUCUCUGGAUCGAUUUGUUGUUUGUACUCUUGAUCCCUGUGCUGGUCUUCUGCGGGUAUCAGUUGCAGGAUAUAUUUAGGAAGUCUGGGCCUAUGUGCAGGAUAUAUCUGGAUAUGUCGGUGGCUCUCCAGAAAUUGGAAUUAUAUGGCUUAGCAGGAGCGACGCAUCUUGCUGCUCUGUGUUUGGAUAAUUAUCACUCCCUCUGUUUUACUCUUCCGUCUCCACUGUUCUGUUUUUGGUUUCCCACAGUUUUCUGAUUUAAACUAUCUGUUGGUGGUUCUCCAGAAAUUGGAAUAAUAUGGCUUAGAAGGCAGUCCUAUUUUGCCUUGGCAUGACGGUUCCUUCUGUGGCUAAAACUUUUUCAACCUUUUUUAUUCUAUAAUUGAACUCUCUAGAGAUUAGGUUUUCUUUGCCUUAGUAAUUAUCAGCUCUUGCAGAUACUGACUUGGAAAGGAUAUAACUGCAGUUUGGAACCGGCGUUGUUGUCCUCCAGCAUCCAUACCUCCUUAGACAGGCUUUACUUGUUCCCACUCAUCGUUUUGUCCAUGGUUUGGCUAUUUAUAAGCAGCAUUUCCCCUACAAUUUUUUUAUAGAAAAGGUCUCUUGCUCGCUGCAGGUUGUAGUUGACGAACUCCUGUACAGCCUGAUGAUGAAUCCGUCUACUGAUCUUCUAAAUCUACUAGUAUCGUUUCAAUUCAUUGUAACUUACAUAACCUAUAAAUUAUCUUACUAGAUAUUUUAAAUACAGAUUCAUAUGCAGCACGAAUAUGAGGAUAAUCCAGAGCUUUCAACUAAUGGCACAUCCUACAGCUGAAAAAGACUCUUGCCUUCCCAUUUUCUUUAUUUCAUUUAGUUACUUGGCCAUCUCUUAGGUUUUUGCCCCUGACCUUCCUAUGGUUGCAGAUUUUUCUUUAGCCCAGGCCAUGUGGGCAAUGACUAGUUCUCCAUGGUUGUUAUCUGUACUCUUGAUCCCUGUGUUCUCUUGGUCUUCUGCUUGUGUGGGUUGGCAAGAUAUAAUAGUUAGGAGUUUGGACCCAAACCUUUGUUCUGUACAUGGAGUCAGGUCAGUGUCUCGUAGAUGGUCUGUUUGUUUCGUUUGUUAUCGCCUCCUCUACAAUUUGGCUUGCAGGACUGAAUCUUGAUCUGGUCUGGAAAUGAUGCUCCAUGUGGUGUGUGAACGUAUGGUGAAGGGGACUUGAGGCAGGUCAGUUUCCCAUGUUUGGUCACAUUGGUUUACUGGAUUCCUCAUCUGUGCUUGGUGAUGUCAGAUUUGAGUGGUUAUACCUUAAGUUCUUCGAUUUAUGUUUGUCUGAUGGCUGUUUGGGAGCUUCGUUCUGGAUGGGUCUUCUUCAACCACAAAAGCUAACACCUGGAUUCCAUGCUUGUUUCAACUGAUUUCCCAGAUUUCAUUAUGGUCUGACUUUCCUUGAAGAAACUUUAAGUAUGGUGAUUAUAUUCGGGCCGUUCAUUGAUUUGCAUUUUUGGAGGUUUUAUUGCAAAAUUGUAGAGUUGGAUAAUCAGUUAGCGCAUGGCCUUGGUGAAGCAAAUGGACUCCCUUGAUGGUUUUGACUUCUGAUUAGUGAUCCUGAAGCAUGAUGGUUUUUGUGGUAGUUUUCAGUUUGAACUUGCAUUCAGUGGCCUCAUAUCUUUGGUGCAGCUUGGAGCUGGUAGUGUGCACAUCUGAUUCUUUCAACUGUCCUGAAUCAUCUUACUUCGUUUCUGUUGUGCCACCUUACUGGUUACGGUAUCUUCUUCAACUUGCAUGUGGUUUGGAUGGAAUAUGAUCUCAUCUUUUGCUCAUAUCAAGAAAAUGCUAGAAGUCUCAAACAAGGGUCCAGAAUGGAAAUAUCAGUUCGUACUCGGUUUGUAAUAGUAGAUUAACAAAGUUUGAUUUGGCUAUUAAUUACCUCGUUACCAUACUGUUUCAGGAAGUUUGGUUUUGAUAUUUGGCUGCUUGUAUCUUUCAACUUGCAAAUUUAUCACCUAAUAGGAAGUAAAGAUCGCAUGUACAUGAGCUCUGAAUGCAGUAAAAAUGUUAAAGCAUAUUAUAUGAAUAUAUGAAUUGGUCAUACUUGGAUUUGUCGGUCUACUAUUCUACAUACUCUUGUCCAUGAUUGCACUUGGUUUGUUUACAUACGUUCUUUAGGUUCAUCUUAUGACACAAAUCAAAUUUUAGUGUGCACAUAAAUUUUAACUGAAAGAUCCCACCCUCGCAUUUGUGUUGAUUUAACAGUAGUGGCCUCCUGUAGUUUGGUAAUAUUGAUGACUUGAUAUUUGGCUAUUAAAUAAAGAUGUUAGGAGUAUAAAACAAUGGAGAGUUGAAGGUUCUGAACUGGAAGCGUGAACAAAUAUUUUGCCCUGAACACUCCACUCAUGUCCACUGAAUAUGAUUCUGGUUUGUUUCGUAUGGAGUUGAUUUUCAGAAGUGAUGUUAUUCUCAUUGGUGCUUCUCCUGUGAGAUCUGGAUUCUUCAAUGCAUCUUCUUGGUUUUCUGGGGAACUUCCAAUGUUAAAUUGACAAACUAGCAAAACAGUCUGGCUAAUUUGAUGAUUUUUAAACACUCUGGCAAAUUUGAUGACGAAUCCCGCUGAUUACUUUCAACAUACGGCAGUUUGUUUUCAUACUUCAUUCAUCCUGGAUUUAAAGACACAAAGCGCUCACACAUCUCUACGGUCUUCCAGUGGCUCAUUUGAUCUCUUUACAGCAAACUGCUAAUUUGAUUUGGAUUAUGGAAUCUUCCAUUACAUAUUCGUAUUAAAUAUAUAAUUUAAUUUAAUAGCGUUUACACAUCUGACAGUCCUCCAAUGGCUAAUUUGACCAUCUUUUUGGCCGAACUGCUAAUUUGAUAUGGAUAAUGGAAUCUUCAAUUACGUAAAUCUAUAAUUUCAUAGUGUUCACACAUCUGACAGUCCUGUAAUGGCUAAUUGACCUUCUUUUCUGGCGAACUGCUAAUUUGAUCUGGAUUCUGAAUCUUGAACCACAUAUUCUCUUUAAUUACAUAUAUUCGUAGUUUUCUGGAAACUUCCUAGUUUUAAUUUAGUUGGCAACUAGCAAAAGUACUAAUUUGAUUAUUCCUGUCGAUUUCUUAGACAAACCCAUUCUGUUUCAUACUACAUAAUAAAUCCUAUAUAUAGAUUUUAAAGACACGGAAGUAUCUGUUCACACAUCUUACGGUCCUCUGACCCUGUAUAAACUACAAAAGCUUUCUCUGUGCAAAGAUUUGAAUCUCGCUCAUCCCACUAGAUAAAUUAGUUACUCCCAUUCAGGUUCUGGAAUUUAUGGCAUUCUUUGUUUGCGCCCCAUGUCAGUCUUGUGAUGUUGUGAAAACUUUGCAUGAAUAUUUAUUGCCAAUCGCUUGUCGUGCCAAUGCUGCCUUUGGUUGAUUGUGUGGCUUGUAUGCUUAGCUGAAUAUAAUUGUUUGUAGUGUUUGCUGUUUUUUGUGUUUAAGUAGGAGUAGUUUAACACUGCCUUUGCCGGUCCCAGGCCCGGAUGAGAAAAUGUGGAGGGGACUGCAGUUAGCUCCUCUGUAUCGUUUGCAUUAGAACUGUCAUUGUCUCCUAAUAUUUUACAUUGAGUAGGAGUGAAUGAUGUGAGUAAGUUGCACAGACUGUCUAGUCGAAUACUGAAUCGUCACACAAUGUGGUGGCAAGCUUUGGAAUGCAUCCUUUGCUAUGAAGAAUCUGGGCAAGUGUAAUUUGUAGUCAUGUACCACACAAUUCUCUAGAAAACAUGUAGUUCAAUUGUUGUGGGUAAACUGCUUCCCUAGAAAAUGCUGUGGUAUUGUAGUAGAUGCAAGCAAGUGGGGAUGGUUCACAGAGUUCCCUGAUUGUUUCAGUUACAGUAAACUAGCAGGUACGUUUACAUUACUAGUUGUACUUGAGUUAGAGUUGUGGUUGUCGUUUCACAAUCUGAUUACCGUCCAUAAGAAAGUCUGAGAUGCAGAUAUCCAUGGUUCAUUUUCAGAGUGGAAAUUCAAGUCCGACGAAACUGAAGAAGCUUCAACCACUGAGGAGACAAAGCUGCGUCCUUCAUCACCUCGUGUGUAGAGGUUUACAUGCCCUUGUUUCUUUCAGUUAGACACACCGACAGUCAAGCUUUGCGCCCUAGUUGUUGCUGCAGUUUCGGCUGUAUACAAAUUCCAACAACAGAGUCUUGUCCCCGUCUCGUAAUUUCAUCGUGCAGAUGUUUAUUUUCUGCUAAUAUAUGUUGUUGAAUUAUGGGCGAGUAGAAUGCCUGCAAUUGUUUGUCGAGUGGGUGCUGAUGUCCUCAAACUUUGAAUUGUUCGGCAUAAGUGGCCCUAACCGUUGUGGGGUUCAAACUGUUUUUCCUUUCUAAAGCAUAGGGCUUGUUCUUUUGAAUAAAGCAUAGGGUUUUAUAC
Molecule: long non-coding RNA, 7812 nt
Organism: Triticum dicoccoides
Lineage: Eukaryota; Viridiplantae; Streptophyta; Magnoliopsida; Poales; Poaceae
Exons: 2
Source: RefSeq, a predicted model, not a curated record